GCUUCUUCCUUUCACGCCGCUGCCAGGCUCUGGGAAGCGAGCACGCCAAACAGGCGGGGAUGCACGUGUGAACAGCACGGCCGGCCCAGCGAUGGCAGAGGCAACAAAAGCAGUUAAGAGAUGAGUUGGUUUCUGGCUUCUGGAAUCUUCAGGCUGAGCUCUGUGCUGUUACCUUGCAAGCAGGAAGAUGUCACAUGAAUUCUGACAGAUAUGUUAUCAGAUGACUUUCUCCACUGACUUCAAGCUGUGCACAGCCAACAGCAGACUGUUGAUUUCCAUAAGUAUGGGUGUUUAAGAAGGUUGAGAACAGUGUGAAAUGUGGAUUUCUAAUGCACCUGGAAAUGCUUUCCUGGCCCUUCCUGCUUCCCAGAAGCACUGCUUGAUUCUAAUAUGCUCGGGGUGAAGUCCUGUGACUUCUAAUGCCAUGCUGAAAGGAAGAAGUCAAGUAAGAUGGAGUUAGAGUUUAGAUGAAAAUGUGAAUAAUGCCUGAAUGAAGUUCAAGUGAGAGUGUGGCUGAGAAGUAGCCCUUCAGAUGCUGUUAGAACUCAGUAUGAAUAUUUAAGUUCAUAGUUAAUAUUCAUAUAGUUAAUAUUGCAAACAAAAUUUGAUUACAGGAUUAAAACACAUAGGAAAACUUGUUUUCUUGUCUAAAUUAGUGUUUAUAAUAAUGCUGGAAGCUGUUCUGCUCACUUUCAAUGCAGUAUUUGUAUAAAUAAAAUCUUG
This 723-nucleotide long non-coding RNA is filed under the name Gallus gallus (chicken). Its description in RNAcentral is "lncRNA (ENSGALG00010004979.1)". Lineage: Eukaryota; Metazoa; Chordata; Aves; Galliformes; Phasianidae. The record is from RNAcentral.